GUGACCUACGGGGGGCAGCAGUGGGGAAUAUUGCGCAAUGGGGGCAACCCUGACGCAGCAACGCCGCGUGAUUGAAGAAGGCCUUCGGGUUGUAAAGAUCUUUAAUCGGGGACGAAUUUUGACGGUACCCGAAGAAUAAGCUCCGGCUAACUACGUGCCAGCAGACGCGGUAAUACGUAGGGAGCAAGCGUUAUCCGGAUUUACUGGGUGUAAAGGGCGUGUAUGCGGGCAUGCAAGCCAGAAGUGACAUCUGGGGGCUUAAGCCUCAAACUGCUUUUGGUACUGC
This 286-nucleotide ribosomal RNA is filed under the name uncultured bacterium. Its description in RNAcentral is "partial 16S ribosomal RNA". It matches the Rfam family "Bacterial small subunit ribosomal RNA", at positions 334 to 636 of the family's 1533-position model. The record is from RNAcentral.